This 514-nucleotide ribosomal RNA is filed under the name uncultured bacterium. RNAcentral's name for it is "bacterial SSU rRNA". It matches the Rfam family "Bacterial small subunit ribosomal RNA", at positions 352 to 859 of the family's 1533-position model. The record is from RNAcentral.
CAGUGGGGAAUUUUGGACAAUGGGGGCAACCCUGAUCCAGCAAUGCCGCGUGUGUGAAGAAGGCCUUCGGGUUGUAAAGCACUUUUGUCCGGAAAGAAAACUUCGGGGCUAAUACCCCUGGAGGAUGACGGUACCGGAAGAAUAAGCACCGGCUAACUACGUGCCAGCAGCCGCGGUAAUACGUAGGGUGCGAGCGUUAAUCGGAAUUACUGGGCGUAAAGCGUGCGCAGGCGGUGCUGUAAGACCGAUGUGAAAUCCCCGGGCUUAACCUGGGAACUGCAUUGGUGACUGCAGCGCUGGAGUAUGGCAGAGGGGGGUGGAAUUCCACGUGUAGCAGUGAAAUGCGUAGAGAUGUGGAGGAACACCGAUGGCGAAGGCAGCCCCCUGGGCCAAUACUGACGCUCAUGCACGAAAGCGUGGGGAGCAAACAGGAUUAGAUACCCUGGUAGUCCACGCCCUAAACGAUGUCAACUGGUUGUCGGGCCUUCAUUGGCUUGGUAACGUAGCUAACGCG